This 711-nucleotide ribosomal RNA is filed under the name uncultured Lachnospiraceae bacterium. RNAcentral describes it as "bacterial SSU rRNA". It matches the Rfam family "Bacterial small subunit ribosomal RNA", at positions 59 to 771 of the family's 1533-position model. Lineage: Bacteria; Bacillati; Bacillota; Clostridia; Lachnospirales; Lachnospiraceae. The record is from RNAcentral.
AAGUCGAACGGGAAAUAUUUCAUUGAGACUUCGGUGGAUCUGAUCUAUUUCUAGUGGCGGACGGGUGAGUAACGCGUGGGUAACCUGCCUUAUACAGGGGGAUAACAGUCAGAAAUGGCUGCUAAUACCGCAUAAGCGCACAGGACCGCAUGGUGUAGUGUGAAAAACUCCGGUGGUAUGAGAUGGACCCGCGUCUGAUUAGCUAGUUGGUGGGGUAACGGCUCACCAAGGCGACGAUCAGUAGCCGACCUGAGAGGGUGACCGGCCACAUUGGGACUGAGACACGGCCCAAACUCCUACGGGAGGCAGCAGUGGGGAAUAUUGCACAAUGGGCGAAAGCCUGAUGCAGCGACGCCGCGUGAAGGAUGAAGUAUUUCGGUAUGUAAACUUCUAUCAGCAGGGAAGAAAAUGACGGUACCUGACUAAGAAGCCCCGGCUAACUACGUGCCAGCAGCCGCGGUAAUACGUAGGGGGCAAGCGUUAUCCGGAUUUACUGGGUGUAAAGGGAGCGUAGAUGGCAUGGCAAGUCUGAAGUGAAAGCCCGGGGCUCAACCCCGGGACUGCUUUGGAAACUGUCAGGCUAGAGUGCUGGAGAGGUAAGUGGAAUUCCUAGUGUAGCGGUGAAAUGCGUAGAUAUUAGGAGGAACACCAGUGGCGAAGGCGACUUUCUGGACAGCAACUGACGUUGAGGCACGAAAGUGUGGGGAGCAA